Mus caroli (Ryukyu mouse) is the source of this 3370-nucleotide non-coding RNA. The record is from RefSeq and is a predicted model, not a curated record. Lineage: Eukaryota; Metazoa; Chordata; Mammalia; Rodentia; Muridae.
GGUCCCCGCCGUUCCCGCAUCGCACACGGGUUCCCCACGGGCCGGGCCUCCUCGGCUACGGUCCAGGUUUUCUUUAUUUUCAUUUUUUUGCAUGCAUUCAUUUUCUGUUCUAUCUCGUCCCUUUUAAGGCAGCGGCGACGGCGACAGCAGCGUAGGUGCGCGCGGGGAGGGGGCGGCCGGAGAAUGCGGCUCCCCGCUGCUGCUCGGCUCGGGUCGGAGUGUCAAGCAGACUUGCCAGUGAUGGUGUGCACAGAGGACGAGCGGAGCCCUGUACGACUGCUUAGCACAGCCGAGCUGGUAGCUGUGCUCGCUGGUGGGUGGGCGUGAACCUCAGGACCUCCGUGUCUCACUCCAAGAGGAAACAUGUCUAAAAAGGGCCGCAGCAAGGGGGAGAAGCCCGAGGUGGAGACAGACUCUGUGCAGAUGGCUAAUGAAGAGCUGCGGGCCAAGCUGACCAACAUCCAGAUUGAGUUCCAGCAGGAGAAGAGCAAGGUGGGGAAGCUGCGGGAGCGUCUGCAGGAGGCCAAGCUGGAGCGGGAGCAGGAGCAGCGUCGCCACACGGCCUACAUCUCGGAACUCAAGGCCAAGCUGCACGAGGAGAAGACGAAGGAACUGCAGGCGCUGCGCGAGGCGCUCAUCCGGCAGCACGAGCAGGAGGCAGCGCGGACCGCCAAGAUCAAGGAAGGUGAGCUGCAGCGGCUGCAGGCCACGCUGAAUGUGCUGCGCGAUGGCGCCGCAGACAAAGUCAAGACUGCAUUGCUGGCCGACGCGCGCGAGGAGGCGCGCAGGACCUUUGAUGGCGAGCGCCAGCGGCUGCAGCAGGAGAUCUUGGAGCUGAAGGCUGCGCGCAAACAGGCGGAAGAGGCACUCAGUAACUGCAUGCAGGCAGACAAGGCCAAAGCCGCCGACCUGCGCGCUGCGUACCAGGCGCACCAGGAUGAGGUGCACCGCAUCAAGCGAGAGUGCGAACGUGACAUCCGCAGACUGAUGGACGAGAUCAAAGGGAAGGAGCGGGUGAUCCUGGCCCUGGAGAAGGAGCUUGGUGUGCAAACCGGGCAGACCCAGCGGCUGUUGUUACAGAAGGAGGCUCUGGAUGAACAGCUGGUCCAGGUCAAGGAGGCAGAACGCCACCACAGCAGCCCAAAGAGGGAGCUUCCUCCUGGCAUUGGUGACAUGGCGGAGCUUAUGGGUGGCCAGGAUCAACAUAUGGAUGAGCGAGAUGUGAGGCGAUUUCAACUGAAAAUUGCUGAACUGAAUUCAGUGAUUCGGAAGCUAGAGGACAGGAACACCCUGCUGGCUGAUGAGAGGAACGAACUGCUGAAGCGCUCUCGGGAGACAGAGGUGCAGCUGAAGCCGCUGGUGGAGAAGAACAAACGCAUGAACAAAAAGAAUGAGGAUCUGCUGCACAGCAUCCAGAGGAUGGAGGAGAAGCUCAAGAGCCUCACGAGGGAGAACGUGGAGAUGAAAGAAAAGCUGUCUGCUCAGGCCUCGCUAAAGCGACACACAUCCCUGAAUGACCUCAGUCUGACCAGGGACGAGCAGGAGAUAGAGUUCCUGAGGCUGCAGGUGCUGGAACAGCAGCAUGUCAUCGAUGACCUCUCUCUGGAGAGAGAACGCCUGCUGCGCUCCAAGAGGCAUCGAGGGAAGAGCCUGAAGCCCCCCAAGAAGCAUGUUGUGGAGACAUUUUUUGGAUUUGAUGAGGAGUCCGUGGACUCUGAAACAUUGUCUGAGACGUCCUACAACACAGACAGGACAGACCGGACCCCAGCCACGCCGGAAGAGGACUUAGAUGAGACCACAACCAGAGAAGAGGCGGACCUGAGGUUCUGCCAGCUGACCAGGGAGUACCAGGCUCUGCAGAGGGCUUAUGCCCUGCUUCAGGAGCAGGUUGGGGGGACACUGGAUGCUGAAAGGGAGGCCCGGACUCGGGAGCAGCUUCAGGCCGACCUGCUGAGGUGCCAGGCCAAAAUCGAGGACUUAGAGAAGCUGCUGGUUGAGAAGGGACAGGACGCUGCGUGGGUAGAGGAGAAGCAGGUACUCAUGAGGACAAACCAGGACCUGCUGGAGAAGAUUUACAGGCUGGAGAUGGAGGAGAACCAGCUAAAGAGCGAAAUGCAAGACGCCAAGGACCAGAACGAGCUGUUAGAAUUCAGAGUGCUAGAGCUCGAAGAGAGAGAGCGGAGGUCGCCAGCCUUUAACCUCCAAAUCACCACCUUCCCCGAGAACAACAGCAGCGCCCUCCAGCUGUUCUGUCACCAGGAAGGAGUAAAGGGUGUGAAUAUCUCUGAACUUAUGAAGAACUUAGAUAUUCUUGGCGAUAACGGGAAUUUGAGGAAUGAAGAGCAGGUUGCAGUAAUCCAAGCGGGAACUGUGCUUGCCCUCUGUGAAAAGUGGCUGAAGCAGAUAGAGGGAACAGAGGCAGCCCUCACGCAGAAGAUGAUGGACCUGGAGAAGGAGAAGGACCAGUUCAGCAGGCAGAAAGGCUACCUGGAGCAGGAGCUGGACUACAGGAAAGAAGCCCUCGACCAGGCCUACCUGAAAAUCCAGGACCUGGAGGCCACCUUGUACAAUGCACUGCAGCAGGAGCCAGGGCGGAGGGCCAGCGAGGCACUGAGCGCCAGCCAGCGUGAGGACCUCCAGGCAGCUGUAGAGAAGGUGCGCAGACAGCUGCUGCGUCAGAGCCGGGAGUUCGACAGUCAGAUCCUGCGGGAGCGAAUGGAGCUGCUACAGCAAGCCCAGCAGAAAAUCCGGGAGAUGGAGGGCAAGCUGGAGCUGCAGAGGCGCCAGCUGAAGGAGCUAGAGGAAAAGUUUUUGUUCCUUUUUUUGUUUUUCUCACUAGCAUUCAUUCUGUGGCCUUGACGACUCCCAUGCGCCGAGAACUCGGGCUAGACAAAGAGCUUUUGGAAUUACCUGAGUCCCCGUGGUGCCCCAUCCUCACUGAAACCAAAAUCCAACAGCAACAAAGCUUUUCAAAGUCCAGAGCCUGAACACAGAACUUACGCACAUUUGACGGUCACUUAAAGGGGAGGCCUGGGGACCUGGCCAGCCUCUGCUGUGGAGCUCUGCAGGACAAUGGCGAGCCUUCCCAACCGGUCUGGGCACUCCCAGCUCAGUCAUUUCCCUGAUGCAGAUAAACAGUUUCCUUGUGACUCUGAGGAACACAACUGACAGAUCCCAGGCCAUGCCUCGUGGAAGAGCUUCUGUGACCACAGCGGGAUGGGUGGACCUGCAUCAUUCCACUCUGACAUCCCGUCAGCAGCUGGCAGGAGCAAGGAUCUGAGACCCUCGUGGAAGGGUUUUCCCAGGAGUAUUCAGGUUGCUCGGUCGGGGCCAGUGUCUAUCCUCUUCUACCCCCAGGAAGCCACUCAGG